This 1594-nucleotide long non-coding RNA is filed under the name Homo sapiens (human). RNAcentral's name for it is "novel transcript". The record is from RNAcentral. Lineage: Eukaryota; Metazoa; Chordata; Mammalia; Primates; Hominidae.
GGGGAGGAGAGGAGGCCCUAGGCCUGGACCCCCUUGCACCACUUUGGGUCAGGAGAUACUGGGCCUGGACUGCCUUCCACUGCCGGGCGGGGAUGGGAGGCUCCAGGCGGCCGCGCUUUUUCCAGUCCGCGGUCCCCACCGGCCGGUUCCCCUCUUCCCCCCACUUCGAGGCCUGCAAUUGUCUGCUGUACUGGCUCCCAGUGCUGAAAGCUAUUAUGAGAAAUACCACUGCGAUGAGUCUUCACAUACAAGUGUGUGCACCAUUUGACGGUCCCACCAGCAGCAUGAGAGAGUUCCAGUGUCUCCACAUCCUCGUCAACACUCACUACCUGACUUUUUGGGUCUAGCUCUCCAGGCCAGGAAGCCGAACCAAAUCCACCUCCCUCAGGUGUGCCCGCGGGACCUGUGUGUGUGCAAGUUUCUAUCUUCCAGAAGGUUCCAGUGUCUGCCAUGGCUCUUGGCCUGCCAGGAAGUAUCCUUCUUACUACUUGUGAGGCUGAGGCUUUGUGUGCCAGAGUACAGGUGCCCGGCCAGUAUGGGUCUGAGGGUUGUGUGGGCAUUGGUUCAGCACACAAGCCACAACCCUUGUUCCUUAAAGGUGGGCGUGUUGUGGAAGCACAGGAAAGUUAUUCUCAAAUAUGACACCCAUGUAAGGCCUGGGCUCCACUAUUAAUUUGUCUGAUUAUAUCCUGGUGACAAGGAGGACAAAUUUCUACUGCAACAAUGCAAAUUACUACGUUUUUAUUAAAAGUAAAUGUCAGUAAAACUAUUUUUCCUGAAUUCUGAAGUGAGAAAAACACCAUUUAAAGAACGUUUUAAUGUUUGUGAAAGGAUAGUCUCCUAAAGUAGAUUGUUGCAGAUACCGGGUAAAAAUAAAAAUUAAAUAAAUUAAAGGUGAGAUAGAUCAAAGAAGAAGGGUUUUGUCUUAUUCCUGCCAGAAACAGAAUAUCAGAAACAACAUGAGCAUCCUCCUCCUUGCCUUUUCUUGGGCUGUGCUUUCAGCCUGCAGAUAUAACCAUUCUGGAGAGCAGUGAUGCCCCCAGAACCGCAUUUUUGGCUGGUGCAAAAUGGGGGGCAGUGGUUGUGUCUGGGGCCAAGUUUCUGUCCUGUAUAGCCUAGAGAUGGUUAUGUAGCGGGGGACUGAGCUACUAAGUGAAGGCAUAGAUAGUUAUGUAGAAACAGAGGAGGGUAGAAUCAACUCCAUGCUAGAUUGUAACUGGAGGUACAGGUAUCAGUAUGAACUCAAGGUUUGCUAAGAGGUAUCAGAAAAGAUAUGGGUGUGUGUGUGUGUGUGUGUGUGUGUGUGUGUGUGUGUGUGUGUGUGUUUGUACAUACUUAUUUCCUAGCUCUGUCUGCUGAGUGUAAAUGGAAUCAUAUUCUGUAAUCUUUUGAGAUUUCUUUCUUCCAUUUAAAAUUAUGUGUUUGAGAUUUGGCCGUGUUGGUGGUGGAAUUCAUUCAUUUCUGUUGCUGUGUGCUAUUCCAUUGCGUGGAUACACCUCACUUUGUCCAUUUUACCGUCCUUUGAUAUUUAAGAUUUCUCCCAGUAUUUGCUAUUAAAAACAGCGUUAAAAUAAAAAAAAAAAAACACCAAAAA